AAAAGUACAUGGCAGGGGAGACACCAGGAUCAUGAAAGUAGUUUUCCCAGGGUGAGGUUCAGCGAUUGCAUGCCGGGUGUGCUGACCCCUGCGAUUUCCCAAAUGNGGGAAACUCGACUGCAUAAUUUGUGGUAGUGGAGGACUGCGUUCGCGCUUUCCCCUG
This 163-nucleotide small nuclear RNA is filed under the name Salvator merianae (Argentine black and white tegu). RNAcentral describes it as "U1 spliceosomal RNA (ENSSMRG00000015845.1)". It matches the Rfam family "U1 spliceosomal RNA". From Rfam's summary of the family: U1 is a small nuclear RNA (snRNA) component of the spliceosome (involved in pre-mRNA splicing). Lineage: Eukaryota; Metazoa; Chordata; Lepidosauria; Squamata; Teiidae. The record is from RNAcentral.